CGCGUAGGCUGAAGUACAAGUCAGACGUGAAAGCCCGGGGCUCAACCCCGGAAUUGCAUCUGAAACUGUAUUUCUCGAGGGUAAUCGGAGAAGACGGAAUUCCACGUGUAGCGGUGAAAUGCGUAGAUAUGUGGAAGAACACCCGUGGCGAAGGCGGUCUUCUAGGUUACUCCUGACGCUGAGGCGCGAAAGCAAGGGGAGCGAACA
This 207-nucleotide ribosomal RNA is filed under the name uncultured bacterium. RNAcentral's name for it is "partial 16S ribosomal RNA". It matches the Rfam family "Bacterial small subunit ribosomal RNA", at positions 568 to 774 of the family's 1533-position model. The record is from RNAcentral.